This 481-nucleotide ribosomal RNA is filed under the name uncultured bacterium. Its description in RNAcentral is "partial 16S ribosomal RNA". It matches the Rfam family "Bacterial small subunit ribosomal RNA", at positions 28 to 507 of the family's 1533-position model. The record is from RNAcentral.
GAUGAACGCUGGCGGCGUGCUUAACACAUGCAAGUCGAACGAAGCACUUUAUUUGAUUUCCUUCGGGACUGAUUAUUUUGUGACUGAGUGGCGGACGGGUGAGUAACGCGUGGGUAACCUGCCUUGUACAGGGGGAUAACAGUAGGAAACGGCUGCUAAUACCGCAUAAGCGCACAGCAUCGCAUGAUGCAGUGUGAAAAACUCCGGUGGUAUAAGAUGGACCCGCGUUGGAUUAGCUAGUUGGUGAGGUAACGGCCCACCAAGGCGACGAUCCAUAGCCGACCUGAGAGGGUGACCGGCCACAUUGGGACUGGGACACGGCCCAAACUCCUACGGGAGGCAGCAGUGGGGAAUAUUGCACAAUGGGCGAAAGCCUGAUGCAGCGACGCCGCGUGAGCGAAGAAGUAUUUCGGUAGGUAAAGCUCUAUCAGCAGGGAAGAUCAUGGCGGUACCUGACUAAGAAGCCCCGGCUAAAUACGUG